GUUUUCAUCAUUAGCGUGAACAUUAUCUCCGGAGUUACAUCGUUGACUUGCUACUCAUCACCACUACUAUUAUUAUCGUUAUAAUCACUAGUAAACUGAGUCAAGUGAUGUUUGUCUGAACAGGACAAAGUGUUAAAAAAACAUGGUAAAUACAUUUUGGAGAAUUUUAAACAAAGAUUGGCAAAAACACACCAGUUGUGUUCGUGCGUUUUAUUGUGGUCGUGCAUAGUUCGUUCUUAUGUGACAGAUAGCAGCAUGUUCUAGUUGAUGGAAACAAGACACUUGCAGCUUGGUUAUGUCAAUAGCUUGUCGGACGGUUUGAUAAAGAUGAGAAUCACUAAAGCUCAGAAAAUUCAAUUGUAGCAGAUUGACAGUUUAUUGGGAGGAAAGAGGGGUGAGGAAGAGACAAAAGGCUUGAAAGACAGGCGUAUGUGUCGGAGAUGUAUGUGCGACAGACCUUAAGUGACUGUCAAACAGUUAUCCCUAAUCAAAUUCAUUUACCUACCUGCCAAAGAAUUCAUAUCAUCCAAUAGAGUAAUCCUUCAGCGAUGACGAUGUAUACGACGGCGAAGAAAAAGAAAGAGAAACCACUACAACAGCAACAACAUCAACAGGAACCAUUGCAAAUCAAGCCAGCCGUUAGAGUCUGUUCUUCGUAUAUGAUCGAGUUAACUACUCUAUACGAUUUAUCUAUCUCUCUCGCUUUUACUCAAUCAUUCAGUCGCUCUCUCACUCACCCAGUCUCCCUCACACUCAACAACCCCUUCUCUCUCUCUUUAGCUAGUUGGCAUUUCGUUGUUAUUGUAGUUAUUGAUGUUAGUUUAGCUAUCAACACUGAUGUUAUUAUUUUGGUGUGAUUUUUGUUUUGAUAGUGACAUCUCUUUCAAUAAUUGCAACAAUAAUAAUAGUGCAUUCUUAAAUUUUGAAGACUAUUUAACUCUUUCCUUUCUCUCGAUAUAUUUUUUUAUUUUUAUUUUCGCUUUUUGGGGUGAAGAUAAUAGAGAAUAUGAAGCUCUCUCUCUCUUUCUCUCUCUCCUUACCCACAAACAUAAAAAGAGAGAUAGAAAACGAAAGUUAAGUGAAGAGUAUUAGUUCUCUUAUGACUAAAUUGCAGAGGCUGUUCAAUCUUACUAUGGGUGGGUUGUAGGUUGUGGAUACAUAUACACUCCUCACAUUUUGAUCUGUCUCACACUUUGCUUCUUUAUUCAUCACUUCUAUCACUAAUCAUCUUUCCUAUCUUUAAUCUGAUUGAUUUUUUUUUUAAAUGUAUUUUACUCUCUCUCUCUCUCUCUCUGACCCCCUUUAUUGUUCUUUCCCUUUAACUUCUCUAUUAAUCUUAUUCUUUUUCUUCGUAAUUGAAGUGCUCUUUUCUAUUGUGUUCUGUAAUUCUUCUUUCAUUUCUCUUUCCUUUUUGUCUCUCAUGUUCAUAUUUCUCUUUCGGUGUAUCCUCUCUUUAAUUUAGCUUCUUUUCUUUCUUUAUCUUACUCUCAUUUCUCUUGGGUUUUUUUCUUUCUCUUUCUCUAACAUACGUCUCUUUUCGGCCAUUCUAUCUCUCUCUCUCUUUCUCUCUCCACUUUAUUCUUCUAUUAACUCGUUAUCACUUUUUAUCAUCAUUUCCCUUGCCCUCUUUCAUCACUCCCUCUCUGUCAGUAUUUCUAUCUUUCUUUCUCUUCCCAAUUACUUCCUCCCCUUUGUUUCUCCUGCCUUCUUAUUUCCAUUCGCUCAUUACUUACGUUAUCAUUCUUUCGCUGGCAGUUAUUUCAUUUCAUUUUUUAAAAUCUAAUGUUUCGCUGCAUCUCUUAUUUCUACUUUCAAUAUUGGGUCUCUCAGUUUUGUUUUUCAGUUUUCGUGUCCCAUUUAGUUGGGGUUUUUUUCUUCCUCUUUUAUUGACUUGUGCUGUUUUCUUCUUUCACUCUCAUUUCUGUUUCUUUUAUUCUUUCUUUCUCGUCUCAUUUUCACUUCUCACUUCACUGAAUUUUCUCCCUCCUACAUUUCGGAGACCUAAGCUUCAAUGAUUCCUGUUUAACUAUUAUGAUCCAAUCCUCAAAAUUCUCAUUCAGCUGUUUUCUUUCUUAAAGACCAUUUACUUAUCUGUCAAUGUUUCUUUUCAUCUGAUCCAUUUCAAUCAAGCGACCCUGUAUCUUGUCUUUUCUUACACUGCUUCUUCCUUUACCAUCAUCAUCAUCAUCAUCAUAUCACCACGACUAUCUAUCUAUCUAUCUAUCUAUCUAUCUAUCUAUCUAUCUAUCUAUCUAUCUAUCUAUAUAUCUGUCUAUCUAUCUAUCUAAUCUAUCUAUCUAUCUAUCUUGUGUGUGCCUGUGUUAUUGUCAUUAUAAUUUCUUCCUUGAUUUAUUGUUUCUUUUUCUUUCAUUCCUUAGAUCCAUUCUCCUUUUUCGCUCUUUCUCUAUUCUAUUCUUUGUUAUACAUUUCUGUUUCCUCGACUUUUUCUCCUUUUGUAUCUCCUUUUCUCAGUGUAAUCAUCCUUCCUUCUCUGUCUCUCCUGUACAUAUUGUUAUAAUUAGUAUCUCAUUAUGUAUAUACUUGAUUGUGUGUGUAUGCGUAUGUGCGUGUUUACGUUUUGCGAUUUUAGUUCUUUUUUCCUUUCCAUAAUGGUAUUCAUUUCAUUUAUUUAUUUAUUAUUAUUAUUUUUUUUUCAUUUCCUUUCCUAAUAUACCACUUAUAUCCAGUUGCAUUCAUUCAACAAGUCAAAUUGAAGAGAAGCUUCUCGCAGGACUCAACCUUGAUCAAAGUCCGUAUUGUUUCAAUUCGCUGUUAAUUCCUCUUUGCCUUGAAGGUUAAUAUGAAGUUCUUGCUUCCUACAUCGAAUGGAACUUGAUUUCCUGGCCUCAACUUUCAUAAGCUUUCAAUUCUUCGGAGAUGGUAAAUAAUAAUCCUAGGUUUUUGUAGAACUGUGAUUAAGCCAUGUAAAUCAAACAUGAAUAAUGACAACGCCCACCACAUCCAUCGAAACAGAAAGGAAUGGAUAGAUGGAUGGAUGGAAUGAAUGGCAAAAAGAAAGAGAUAAGUUGACAGAACCGUGAAAGAACAUUACGGCGUAGCGGAGUGACAAAUGUAGUGAGUCCUUCCUUGUGUGAGUGGCCUCCUUAACCCUCUCAUGGAGGUAACCCUAUCAGAAAUAGAUGAAUAAGACACAUGGACAGGCGUAGAAACAAUGAAACAAACGGAUAGAUAGACAAUCAUAGGAAUGCGAGAGAUGUAAAGUAAAAGGUGAGAGAAAGAAUGACUGCAUCAGUGAAUGCUUAUAUAUAAAUAUUAAUGUGGGAAUUUGGGUUGACAAAAUCGAUAGCGCAUCAGACAAAAUAACAUGUGGCAUUUAGUUGCGACCAUUUAUUAUGUUCUGAGUUCAAAUUACACCAAGGUCAACUUUUAUUUUCAUUCCUCUUGGAAGUAAAUGAUAAAAUAUGUUUUUGUCAAGUACUGAGGUCAAUUUAUAUUUCAAUAAUGCGUACCAUAUUCUUUAUCUCUUACUCUUUUCAGUCAUUGGACUGCGGCCAUGCUGGGACACCACCUUAAAGGGUUUAGUCGAACGAGUCGACCCCAGUACUUUUUUUUUUUGAAUUUGGUACUCAUGCUAUCAUCUCUUUUGUCGAACCGCUAAAUUAGAGACGUAAACAAACCAACACCGGUUGUCGAGCACACACACACAAACACACGAUGGACUCCCACACGGUUUCUGUCUACCACAUUCAAUGAUGAGGCGUUGGUCGACCUGGGACUAUAGAAGAAAACACUUGCUCAAGGUACUGUGCAGUAGAACAGAACCAGAAAUCUGGAAAGAAAGGGAAAUAUAGAGAUGAAAAUGAAUUCUGGCUGCAAAAUUUAAACUCAGAACUGAGGGAAUGGAACUGGCCACCAAAGAACAUUUUGUCAUUCCAUCACUGAUACUAAGUUCUGAUAUUCCUUAGAAAGUAUCUUGCUCAGGUUUGAAAGGAACUUUUUAAGUUCAGAUCUAUGUGAAUCUUCCUCACAGGGCAGUGGAGACAACAAGGUAAAGUUGACAAACUGGAUGCUUUACUGUUCUGAGAUCAACUUAGCUGAACCAUCUUUACUUGUCUUCUCUUUCUAGUAUGAAUAAAAU
Molecule: long non-coding RNA, 4099 nt
Filed under: Octopus vulgaris (common octopus)
Lineage: Eukaryota; Metazoa; Mollusca; Cephalopoda; Octopoda; Octopodidae
Source: RNAcentral